RNAcentral lists this ribosomal RNA (155 nucleotides) under uncultured bacterium. RNAcentral's name for it is "partial 16S ribosomal RNA". It matches the Rfam family "Bacterial small subunit ribosomal RNA", at positions 355 to 507 of the family's 1533-position model. The record is from RNAcentral.
UGAGGAAUAUUGGACAAUGGGUUAGCGCCUGAUCCAGCCAUCCCGCGUGAAGGACGACGGCCCUAUGGGUUGUAAACUUCUUUUGUACAGGGAUAAACCUUUCUACGAGUAGAAAGCUGAAGGUACUGUACGAAUAAGCACCGGCUAACUCCGUG